Molecule: transfer RNA, 82 nt
Filed under: Didymella pomorum
Lineage: Eukaryota; Fungi; Ascomycota; Dothideomycetes; Pleosporales; Didymellaceae
Description: Peyronellaea pomorum tRNA
Rfam family: tRNA
About the family: Transfer RNA (tRNA) molecules are approximately 80 nucleotides in length. Their secondary structure includes four short double-helical elements and three loops (D, anti-codon, and T loops).
Source: Rfam by way of RNAcentral
GGCCUAAUGGCCCAAUGGCAAGGCGCUUGACUACGAUUGAAUCCACAUCAAGAGAUUCCAGGUUCGACCCCUGGUUAGGUCA